RNAcentral lists this ribosomal RNA (253 nucleotides) under uncultured bacterium. RNAcentral's name for it is "partial 16S ribosomal RNA". It matches the Rfam family "Bacterial small subunit ribosomal RNA", at positions 524 to 776 of the family's 1533-position model. The record is from RNAcentral.
UACGAAGGGGGCUAGCGUUGUUCGGAAUUACUGGGCGUAAAGCGCGUGUAGGCGGCCCUGCAAGUCGGGUGUGAAAUCCCACGGCUCAACCGUGGAAGUGCACUCGAAACUGCAGGGCUAGAGUCCUGGAGAGGAAGGUGGAAUGCUUGGUGUAGAGGUGAAAUUCGUAGAUAUCAAGCGGAACACCGGUGGCGAAGGCGGCCUUCUGGACAGUGACUGACGCUGAGACGCGAAAGCGUGGGGAGCAAACAGG